UGGGGAAUAUUGCACAAUGGGCGCAAGCCUGAUGCAGCCAUGCCGCGUGUGUGAAGAAGGCCUUCGGGUUGUAAAGCACUUUGGCAGGAAAGAAACGUCGCGGGUUAAUACCCCGCGAAACUGACGGUACCUGCAGAAUAAGCACCGGCUAACUACGUGCCAGCAGCCGCGGUAAUACGUAGGGUGCAAGCGUUAAUCGGAAUUACUGGGCGUAAAAGCGUGCGCAGGCGGUUCGGAAAGAAAGAUGUGAAAUCCCAGAGCUUAACUUUGGAACUGCAUUUUAACUACCGGGCUAGAGUGUGUCAGAGGGAGGUGGAAUUCCGCGUGUAGCAGUGAAAUGCGUAGAUAUGCGGAGGAACACCGAUGGCGAAGGCAGCCUCCUGGGAUAACACUGACGCUCAUGCACGAAAGCGUGGGGAGCAAACAGGAUUAGAUACCCUGGUAGUCCACGCCCUAAACGAUGUCAGCUAGCUGUUGGGCCUUCGGGCCUUGGUAGCGCAGCUAACGCGUGAAGUUGACCGCCUGGGGAGUACGGUCGCAAGAUU
RNAcentral lists this ribosomal RNA (545 nucleotides) under uncultured bacterium. RNAcentral describes it as "partial 16S ribosomal RNA". It matches the Rfam family "Bacterial small subunit ribosomal RNA", at positions 355 to 895 of the family's 1533-position model. The record is from RNAcentral.